UGUUAAACCAAUUAUUUCAUUUGUAUAAACCCGGAAUAUGGCCGGGCGUUUCUACGGAAAACCGUUAAUUUUCCUCUACAAGUGAAGUAUUCGGAAUU
RNAcentral lists this non-coding RNA (98 nucleotides) under Moheibacter sediminis. RNAcentral's name for it is "Guanine sequence". It matches the Rfam family "Purine riboswitch aptamer". From Rfam's summary of the family: Riboswitches are metabolite binding domains within certain messenger RNAs that serve as precision sensors for their corresponding targets. Allosteric rearrangement of mRNA structure is mediated by ligand binding, and this results in modulation of gene expression. The record is from Rfam by way of RNAcentral. Lineage: Bacteria; Pseudomonadati; Bacteroidota; Flavobacteriia; Flavobacteriales; Weeksellaceae.